UACGAAGGGGGCUAGCGUUGUUCGGAAUUACUGGGCGUAAAGCGCGCGUAGGCUGCGCGACAAGUCAGAGGUGAAAUCCCAGAGCUUAACUUUGGAACUGCCUUUGAAACUGUCGCGCUGGAAUCUCAGAGGGGAUAGCGGAAUUCCAAAUGUAGGGGUGAAAUCCGUAGAUAUUUGGAGGAACACCGGUGGCGAAGGCGGCUAUCUGGAUGAGUAUUGACGCUGAGGCGCGAAAGCGUGGGGAUCAAACAGG
RNAcentral lists this ribosomal RNA (253 nucleotides) under uncultured bacterium. RNAcentral describes it as "partial 16S ribosomal RNA". It matches the Rfam family "Bacterial small subunit ribosomal RNA", at positions 524 to 776 of the family's 1533-position model. The record is from RNAcentral.